Long non-coding RNA from Eriocheir sinensis (Chinese mitten crab), 1331 nucleotides. RefSeq lists it as uncharacterized. The record is from RefSeq and is a predicted model, not a curated record. The transcript has 3 exons. Lineage: Eukaryota; Metazoa; Arthropoda; Malacostraca; Decapoda; Varunidae.
CCGGUACCCAAACCAGAACCAAUACGCCAAUACUGGUUUUUAUACUCCAUUAAUGGUUCCCAAACUAGAACCAACAAUUCAAUACCGGUAUCAAAACACCAGCAGGUCCGAUACCAAAACAAGUACCAAUAAUCUGUUAUCGGUACCAUUAAAACAAGUAGUCCUUCAAGAUGGCGGACUGGCAGACGGGACAAAACGAAGCGGAGAAUUAUAAAGUGAUUUCCUCGGUUUAUUCAUGGUGAAGGAGGCUGUUACUGUCUGCCUGGCACUUGGCACUCUUCACCGUUCUGCUUUCCGCCUGGAGUGCCACGGGGCCAACAGUGAGUGCCGGGCAGCUGACGGUGGACCUGGUGAUUACCUGUGAGAAGGUGGGCACCACCCAGCCCCUCUGACCACAGCAGCAAAGACCAGUGCCAUGUCUUGCCUGCCCAGUGCCUUGCUGUCAUGCAGACCCCCUCAUAGAAGUGAGUGGCUUGGCCUUUACAUGUGUGACUCUAGCUGUGUAUGCCUUUGACAGUCUGUCAUAUCUCUAAAUACAUUCAGUUAUCAAUAUAUCUGUCUGUCAUAUCUCUAAAUACAUUCAGUUAUCAAUAUAUCUGUCUGUCAUAUCUUUAAAUACAUUCAGUUAUCAAUAUAUCUGUCUGUCAUAUCUUUAAAUACAUUCAGUUAUCAAUACAUCUGUCUGUCAUAUCUUUAAAUACAUUCAGUUAUCAAUAUAUCUGUCUGUCAUAUCUUUAAAUACAUUCAGUUAUCAAUAUAUCUGUCUGUCAUAUCUUUAAAUACAUUCAGUUAUCAAUAUAUCUGUCUGUCAUAUCUCUAAAUACAUUCAGUUAUCAAUAUAUCUGUCUGUCAUAUCUCUAAAUACAUUCAGUUAUCAAUAUAUCUGUCUGUCAUAUCUUUAAAUACAUUCAGUUAUCAAUAUAUCUGUCUGUCAUGUCUUUAAAUACAUUCAGUUAUCAAUAUAUCUGUCUGUCAUAUCUUUAAAUACAUUCAGUUAUCAAUAUAUCUGUCUGUCAUGUCUUUAAAUACAUUCAGUUAUCAAUAUAUCUGUCUGUCAUAUCUCUAAAUACAUUCAGUUAUCAAUAUAUCUGUCUGCCAGUCUGUCAUAUCUCUAAUAAAUACAUUCAGUUAUCAAUAUAUCUGUCUGUCAUAUCUUUAAAUACAUUCAGUUAUCAGUAUAUCUGUCUGUCAUAUCUUUAAAUACAUUCAGUUAUCAAUAUAUCUGUCUGUCAUAUCUUUAAAUACAUUCAGUUAUCAAUAUAUCUGUCUGUCAUAUCUCUAAAUACAUUCAGUUAUCAAUAUAUCUGUCUGUCAUAUCUCUAAUAAAUACA